ACUCAAUAGUUUAACAAUAAGCGAUUGCCGUUUUUACAAACUCCCUAUUAACUUGGACUUGAGAUAUGUUCGUGCUUUUGAUUUGGAUAGUUAUGCUCUCAAUGACUUUGUUAAAGAAUGU
Long non-coding RNA from Ipomoea nil (Japanese morning glory), 121 nucleotides. RefSeq lists it as uncharacterized. The record is from RefSeq and is a predicted model, not a curated record. The transcript has 3 exons. Lineage: Eukaryota; Viridiplantae; Streptophyta; Magnoliopsida; Solanales; Convolvulaceae.